GUCCACAGCCAUGCCAUCCUGAACGCGCCUGAUCUCAUCUGAUCUUGGAAGCUAAGCAAGGUCAGGCCUGGUUAGUACCUGGAUGGGAGGCCACCUUGGAAUACCAGGUGCUGUAGGCA
This 119-nucleotide ribosomal RNA is filed under the name Pteropus alecto (black flying fox). The record is from RNAcentral. Lineage: Eukaryota; Metazoa; Chordata; Mammalia; Chiroptera; Pteropodidae.